GGGGGGGGCAAGCGUUGUUCGGAAUUACUGGGCGUAAAGGGCUCGUAGGUGGCCAACUAAGUCAGACGUGAAAUCCCUCGGCUUAACCGGGGAACUGCGUCUGAUACUGGAUGGCUUGAGUUUGGGAGAGGGACGCGGAAUUCCAGGUGUAGCGGUGAAAUGCGUAGAUAUCUGGAGGAACACCGGUGGCGAAGGCGGCGUCCUGGACCAACACUGACACUGAGGAGCGAAAGCCAGGGGAGCAAACGGGAUUAGAUACCCCGGUAGUCCUGGCCCUAAACGAUGAAUGCUUGGUGUGGCGGGUAUCGAUCCCUGCCGUGCCGAAGCUAACGCAUUAAGCAUUCCGCCUGGGGAGUACGGUCGCAAGGCUG
RNAcentral lists this ribosomal RNA (371 nucleotides) under uncultured bacterium. RNAcentral describes it as "bacterial SSU rRNA". It matches the Rfam family "Bacterial small subunit ribosomal RNA", at positions 527 to 896 of the family's 1533-position model. The record is from RNAcentral.